Triticum aestivum (bread wheat) is the source of this 423-nucleotide long non-coding RNA. RefSeq lists it as uncharacterized. The record is from RefSeq and is a predicted model, not a curated record. NCBI's taxonomy places the organism in Eukaryota, Viridiplantae, Streptophyta, Magnoliopsida, Poales, Poaceae. The transcript is spliced from 2 exons.
GCCAGGUCGCCAAUCCAAGUAGAAUAGAAACACAGGAAGUAGAAUAGAGACGAACGAUCGAGGAUGGUGAAGAACAACUCCUCUGCGACCUCGGUUCGGCUGAUGCUGAUCCUCCUCGUUCUGCUGGUUUUCGUUGGUGGCAUCCUGGCAAAUAGUGGGCCGUCCAAAUGCAGCAACCCUGCGGCUCAGCGAGACUGCCCGCGGAUCCCUAAUGGCGGCUCAUAAGCACGAGAUGGACCAUUUCCGCGUGGCAGGAUUCGGUAGGAUCUUGUGUUGGCAGGCGUUGGAAGCUUCCUAUUAUACAUGCGAAAAAAACAAUAUACAUGUUCUUGAGGUGUUGGUGUGUGAUCUGUGAUGUUUGUUCGUAUUGAUAUGUUUGUACUGUGACAUGGUUUACAUAUAAAUAAUAUGGCCUACCCCGUA